GACGAACGUUGGCGGCGUGCUUAACACAUGCAAGUCGAACGGAAAGGCCCUGCUUUUGUGGGGUGCUCGAGUGGCGAACGGGUGAGUAACACGUGAGUAACCUGCCCUUGACUUUGGGAUAACUUCAGGAAACUGGGGCUAAUACCGGAUAGGAGCUCCUGCUGCAUGGUGGGGGUUGGAAAGUUUCGGCGGUUGGGGAUGGACUCGCGGCUUAUCAGCUUGUUGGUGGGGUAGUGGCUUACCAAGGCUUUGACGGGUAGCCGGCCUGAGAGGGUGACCGGCCACAUUGGGACUGAGAUACGGCCCAGACUCCUACGGGAGGCAGCAGUGGGGAAUAUUGCACAAUGGGCGGAAGCCUGAUGCAGCAACGCCGCGUGCGGGAUGACGGCCUUCGGGUUGUAAACCGCUUUCGCCUGUGACGAAGCGUGAGUGACGGUAAUGGGUAAAGAAGCACCGGCUAACUACGUGCCAGCAGCCGCGGUGAUACGUAGGGUGCGAGCGUUGUCCGGAUUUAUUGGGCGUAAAGGGCUCGUAGGUGGUUGAUCGCGUCGGAAGUGUAAUCUUGGGGCUUAACCCUGAGCGUGCUUUCGAUACGGGUUGACUUGAGGAAGGUAGGGGAGAAUGGAAUUCCUGGUGGAGCGGUGGAAUGCGCAGAUAUCAGGAGGAACACCAGUGGCGAAGGCGGUUCUCUGGGCCUUUCCUGACGCUGAGGAGCGAAAGCGUGGGGAGCGAACAGGCUUAGAUACCCUGGUAGUCCACGCUGUAAACGGUGGGUACUAGGUGUGGGGUCCAUUCCACGGGUUCCGUGCCGUAGCUAACGCUUUAAGUACCCCGCCUGGGGAGUACGGCCGCAAGGUUAAAACUCAAAGGAAUUGACGGGGCCCCGCACAAGCGGCGGAGCAUGCGGAUUAAUUCGAUGCAACGCGUAGAACCUUACCUGGGUUUGACAUGGAUCGGGAGUGCUCAGAGAUGGGUGUGCCUCUUUUGGGGUCGGUUCACAGGUGGUGCAUGCCUGUCGUCAGCUCGUGUCGUGAGAUGUUGGGUUAAGUCCCGCAACGAGCGCAACCCUUGUUCACUGUUGCCAGCACGUUAUGGUGGGGACUCAGUGGAGACCGCCGGGGUCAACUCGGAGGAAGGUGGGGAUGACGUCAAGUCAUCAUGCCCCUUAUGUCCAGGGCUUCACGCAUGCUACAAUGGCUGGUACAGAGAGUGGCGAGCCUGUGAGGGUGAGCGAAUCUCGGAAAGCCGGUCUCAGUUCGGAUUGGGGUCUGCAACUCGACCUCAUGAAGUCGGAGUCGCUAGUAAUCGCAGAUCAGCAACGCUGCGGUGAAUACGUUCCCGGG
This 1343-nucleotide ribosomal RNA is filed under the name uncultured bacterium. Its description in RNAcentral is "16S ribosomal RNA". It matches the Rfam family "Bacterial small subunit ribosomal RNA", at positions 28 to 1378 of the family's 1533-position model. The record is from RNAcentral.